GCCGGGUGUGGUGGUGCACACCUGUAAUCCCAGCUACUUGGGAGGCUGAGACAUGAGAAUUGCUUGAGCCUGGGAGGCGGAGCUUGCAAAGGGCCGAGAUAGCACCACAGCACUCCAGCCUGGGCAACAGAGCAAGACUCUGUCUCUC
This 148-nucleotide non-coding RNA is filed under the name Chlorocebus sabaeus (green monkey). The record is from Rfam by way of RNAcentral. Lineage: Eukaryota; Metazoa; Chordata; Mammalia; Primates; Cercopithecidae.